Non-coding RNA from Zootoca vivipara (common lizard), 74 nucleotides. NCBI's taxonomy places the organism in Eukaryota, Metazoa, Chordata, Lepidosauria, Squamata, Lacertidae. The record is from the annotation of a RefSeq genome assembly.
GACUGGUAUAGCUCAGUCGGUAGAGUUUGAGACUCUCAAUCUCAGGGUUGUGGGUUCGAGUCCCACGCUAGGCA